UAGCAUUAAUUUUUAAUUUGAGCCAUUCAUUUAUAUUAAGAUUUUAGCCAUCGAAAUUCAUGAUCUAUAUUCAUCUUCAAUUUCUAACCCUAGAUGCCUCAUUUUUUCUCUUCAAACUUUAGAAGCUUGAGUUGGUUGCCGCUGCCAUUGCUCCUCCCCCUCGCUGUCAUCACUCCUUGCCACCAUUGCUCCUCUGUCGCUGUCGUCACUCCUUGUUUUUAUUGUUGUCAUCGUCGCUCAUCUGCCGCUCCUCUACCGUCCCUCUGUCAUCGCUUAUCUGUCAUCUCUCUGUCGUCGCACCUUCACCUAUGUUGCCGUCACUUAUCUGCCCGUGGUACCGUCGCUCCUCUCCGCCUGGUGCUUUGGUUGCUCUGUCUCCCGUUAUUACUUUAAGAAUUUCGGAAAAUAAAAAUUUGAACUUUUGAGAUUAUUUUCCUAUCAUGACAUGUUUGUGCAUUCAAUUUGGGUGAAAUUUAGUUUAAAUUUUCAGUUUCUAUUGUAAUUUAUGUAUAGUUUUGAGAAUUUAUUAAAUAUUAGUUGAAAUAUUUAAUGAGAGUUUGAAACUUUUAAAUGAAUUUCGGGC
Molecule: long non-coding RNA, 583 nt
Filed under: Manihot esculenta (cassava)
Lineage: Eukaryota; Viridiplantae; Streptophyta; Magnoliopsida; Malpighiales; Euphorbiaceae
Description: long non-coding RNA (MESC_LNC000082)
Source: RNAcentral